AGAAGGAUAAGAGGUCAUCUCAUUUCACACACGUGAUAUUCCAGUGGUCUUAUGUGAUCUUGAUUACAUUUUACCCUUUGCUUUUUGAUGUUGUAAGACUAAUUGUUAAUGCUUCACAGAAUGGCAGAAUGGGUAAAUUAGCAGCUAAUGAUGGUUUCUGAUAAAAAUAAAUCACACUAAUUUUUCUUAUUUCAAAUAGUUGUAUCCUCACAUAAUGAAUGUUAUUGGUCAUAGCCAUGUGCCGAAUCUGAUAUAGUGGCUGUUUGUUGGAAAUAUGAUUUUUACCAAUUUUUAUAGCAUUUUUAUUUUUCUUGCAGGCCCUAGAUAUGAUACGG
RNAcentral lists this unclassified non-coding RNA (335 nucleotides) under Hevea brasiliensis (rubber tree). Lineage: Eukaryota; Viridiplantae; Streptophyta; Magnoliopsida; Malpighiales; Euphorbiaceae. The record is from RNAcentral.